AUUGAACGCUGGCGGCAUGCUUUACACAUGCAAGUCGAACGGUAGAGGGGGUAACCCCUUGAGAGUGGCGAACGGGUGAGUAAUGCAUCGGAACGUGCCCAGUCGUGGGGGAUAACGCAGCGAAAGCUGUGCUAAUACCGCAUACGAUCUCUGGAUGAAAGCGGGGGACCGAAAGGCCUCGCGGGUUUGGAGCGGCCAAUGUCAGAUUAGGGAGGUGGUGGGAUAAAAGCGUACAAAGCCGACGAUCUGUCGCUGGUCUGAGAGGACGACCAGCCACACGGGGACUGAGACACGGCCCAGACUCCUACGGGAGGCAGCAGUGGGGAAUUGUUCGCAAUGGGCGCAAGCCUGACGACGCAACGCCGCGUGGGGGAUGAAGGUCUUCGGAUUGUAAACCCCUGUUGGGUGGGACGAACACUUUCGUGGUGAAUAUCCACGGAGGCUGACGGUACCACCUGAGGAAGCCCCGGCUAACUCUGUGCCAGCCGCCGCAGUAA
Molecule: ribosomal RNA, 497 nt
Filed under: uncultured bacterium
Lineage: Bacteria
Description: partial 16S ribosomal RNA
Rfam family: Bacterial small subunit ribosomal RNA
Source: RNAcentral